CGGACACAUACGUAGACAUGAAAGCCUGAAACCGGAAAUAAACACAGCUGGCUGUAGGCUACAGUAAAUUAACAUAAAAUAUGAAAUAUCAUGCUGCUUUUUAUUACCUUUAGGUCGCAAUACCAGAAUAUCUCUGCCCGAGACUAGCAAAUUAAAUUAAUGACUGACUAUAGCCAAGUUAUUAGAAGUUUGUGGACACAACCUCCAGCCUGAAGUUUUGAUGUUUUAGAAAGUUGAUUCUAUCAGGAUGCAUCAGGAGGAUGAAGAUUACACCAAUCCACCAGAGGAGUUUAUAGGACUGUCUGAUUUCACGAGCUGCGGCAGCGACCAGCUGAGUUUCAGAGCUGGAGACAGGUUACUGGUCCACACCAAGACGUCAGCUGACUGGUGGUGGGCGGAGUUGGGAGGCCUCUGUGGCUACGUUCCAUCUAGUUACCUGAAACAAGAUGUGGAGGACAGUUACCUAAAUCAAGGUGUGAAGGAGGACACCUCAGAGGACACCUCGGAGGACCCCUGGCAGGAUGAAGAAUACUUUGGCAGCUAUGGAACACUGAGGCUUCAACUGGAGAUGCUGAGUGACCGAGCGAGGACGGAGGCGUACCGCCAGGUGAUUCUGACCAACAGCGCCCCCCUCAAGGGGAAGGUGGUUAUGGACCUGGGCUGUGGCACCGGCGUCAUCAGCCUCUUCUGUGCCCGCCUGGCCCAGCCCAAAGCUGUGUAUGCGGUGGAGGCCAGCUCCAUAGCAGAACACACUGAGACCCUGGUGAGGCAGAACGGCUGUGAGGAGGUUGUGACAGUCUUCCAGGGUCGGGCUGAGGAGCUGGAGCUACCAGGCACAGUAGACAUCCUGAUCUCAGAGUGGAUGGGCAACUGUCUGCUGUUUGAGUUCAUGGUGGAGUCAGUGUUGCAGGCGCGGGACCGCUGGCUGAGAGAGGGGGGGAUGAUGUGGCCCUCUGGGGCCUCUCUCUGCCUGGUCCCCUGUCAGGCCCUGGACUACUACACAGAGAGGAUGGUCUUCUGGGAGCAGCCCUAUGGACUGGACUUUACUGCCCUCCAAUCCCUGGCCCAGUCAGAGUUCUUCUCCAGGCCCAGGUUCAGCCACCUCCUCAAGCCUGAAGACUGCCUGGCCACCCCCUGUGAUGUCAUCACUCUGGACAUGCUCACACUGCAUGUUACAGAUCUAGAGAAGCUGAGGGGCCAGUUUACCUUCAUCGUGGAAAAGGCCGGGACGUUCCACGGGUUCACUUCCUGGUUCAGAGUUCAGUUCCAGAGCCUGGAGAGAGACAAAACCACAUUGGAGUUACUCUGAGCCAACCCACUGGAAGCAGACUCUGUUCAUGCUGGACGGGCCGAUCUUGCUGCUCGGUGGAGAGACGGUGUCUGGAAUCAUCCUUCUACACCGGAACCCCGUCUGGAGACGUCACAUGACUGUUACCAUCCAAUGGAGCAUCAGCAGCACAGAGGAAACAGGAAACUGCAUGGUCCAGACAAAGAGUUUCCCUAUGUGGAGAUGACAUCACAGGCUAGCAUUGAAGGAUGUAGCAGCCAGACCUCUCUGAUAUUAGCCUAGUUCCAGAUCCAUUUGUGGCUUUGCCUACUCCAUUGUCAUUGUCAAGCCAAACAUGACAAUUCCAUAAGGAGUGUUGUGGAAAUUACCACCAGGGACUCCAAGUCAAACUUAAAUUAAUCAUACUUUAUUAUCAGCAAGCUGGAGAGGUUCCAACAAACGUAAUGCACCAAGAAGUACACGUCUGUCAGGAGCUCUGUCAGAGAAGUCCUGUUAGUUCUCUUACAUACUGCUUUUGCAGACAAGUUAUAUUUGCAUGAUUUCCAUAAUUAAAUAUUUGAAUUCA
This is a non-coding RNA of Salmo salar (Atlantic salmon), 1853 nucleotides long. NCBI's taxonomy places the organism in Eukaryota, Metazoa, Chordata, Actinopteri, Salmoniformes, Salmonidae. The record is from RefSeq and is a predicted model, not a curated record.